Non-coding RNA from Pogona vitticeps (central bearded dragon), 208 nucleotides. Lineage: Eukaryota; Metazoa; Chordata; Lepidosauria; Squamata; Agamidae. The record is from RefSeq and is a predicted model, not a curated record.
AGGUUCCUCUUGUUCACUGCCGUGGCUGUGGUCCUGAUCCUGGCCAUUGUGGUUGCAGAUGAACCCUUGACUUCUCCAGACCCCACUUCCCCGGGGGGCAGCCAGACCCCAGAACCUCUGGUGAAUUCAGAGCCCGUCCUCUCUGGCAAAUCUGAGGCCUCAGGAGAAAGUGAGAUCGGAAGCCCCCUGGAACCACAGGUUACCACAG